ACAUGCCUCACUUGGUAUAUUAUAUCAUCUUUUUCUAGGUUGAUGUUUUUGGCCAAUUCAAGACAGUAAAGUGUUCUUCCAUCUGAUUGAAAUUGGUUGGCUUGAACUGGGUCUUGCGGAUUGAAUGAUGAUCUCCAAUUAUUCAGGAGACCUGUCUUGUUUAUUAUCACAAAUCCUUCAAUGUAAUUGAACGUGUUCUCUGCAGAUAUCAAAUGCUUCUGGUCUCUGAUGAAUGCGGAGAAGUCUGAGUACAAAACUCUUAUCCAUUUUACUUGUUCGGAAUGGCAUGGUGUUAUGAAACUGAGAAAUUCUUGCUCGUGUGAUUAUGCCAAACUGGCCAAUUCCUCCAAGGACACCAUGAAAGAGACCAUGACGGAAUGCCUGCCCACUAAUCCCUGCAUUUGACAAAGUACCGCCAACUGUGAGAUGUAGGUAAUCUGUCCAAGACUUCGGUGCUAACCCAUGUUUCAGGCUUUCAUGCAGGAUAUUAAUCCACAAUUUGCCACCAUAGACAUCUACAUAAGGAUGUUUUCCAAUGUAAACCUGCAUUUCCAUUCCACUGAAUGAUUCCAUGUUGAUCACGACUCCUCUGUGAGCUUGUGCCUGGCCCUGCAUUUCCAUUCCAUUGUGAGUUUUCUUAAUUUGUUUAAUUAUUUUCCCAUAACUCAUUGAAUUCAGCCAAAAUUCCUCACCUUCUUUGUGGUGUAUUUUGAUUUCUUUUUCUUGAUCAUAUUUUGUGGUUUUUGAAUCAAAGAGGAAAGAGAGAGAGGUGGGGAAUUCCUACUAAGU
Molecule: non-coding RNA, 789 nt
Organism: Camellia sinensis
Lineage: Eukaryota; Viridiplantae; Streptophyta; Magnoliopsida; Ericales; Theaceae
Source: RefSeq, a predicted model, not a curated record